CGGCACGGGUGAGUAACACGUAUCCAACCUGCCGUCUACUCUUGGACAGCCUUCUGAAAGGAAGAUUAAUACAAGAUGGCAUCAUGAGUUCACAUGUUCACAUGAUUAAAGGUAUUCCGGUAGACGAUGGGGAUGCGUUCCAUAGAUAGUAGGCGGGGUAACGGCCCACCUAGUCUUCGAUGGAUAGGGGUUCUGAGAGGAAGGUCCCCCACAUUGGAACUGAGACACGGUCCAA
This 235-nucleotide ribosomal RNA is filed under the name uncultured bacterium. Its description in RNAcentral is "partial 16S ribosomal RNA". It matches the Rfam family "Bacterial small subunit ribosomal RNA", at positions 100 to 334 of the family's 1533-position model. The record is from RNAcentral.